AACGAACGCUGGCGGCAGGCUUAACACAUGCAAGUCGAGCGCCUCGCAAGAGGAGCGGCAGACGGGUGAGUAACGCGUGGGAAUCUACCCAUCUCUACGGAACAACUCCGGGAAACUGGA
RNAcentral lists this ribosomal RNA (120 nucleotides) under uncultured bacterium. RNAcentral describes it as "partial 16S ribosomal RNA". It matches the Rfam family "Bacterial small subunit ribosomal RNA", at positions 29 to 161 of the family's 1533-position model. The record is from RNAcentral.